RNAcentral lists this ribosomal RNA (497 nucleotides) under uncultured bacterium. RNAcentral's name for it is "partial 16S ribosomal RNA". It matches the Rfam family "Bacterial small subunit ribosomal RNA", at positions 28 to 507 of the family's 1533-position model. The record is from RNAcentral.
GAUGAACGCUGGCGGCGUGCCUAAUACAUGCAAGUCGAGCGAACAGACGAGGAGCUUGCUCCUCUGACGUUAGCGGCGGACGGGUGAGUAACACGUGGAUAACCUACCUAUAAGACUGGGAUAACUUCGGGAAACCGGAGCUAAUACCGGAUAAUAUAUUGAACCGCAUGGUUCAAUAGUGAAAGACGGUUUUGCGGUAACUUAUAGAUGGAUCCGCGCCGCAUUAGCUAGUUGGUAAGGAAAAGGCUUACCAAGGCAACGAUGCGUAGCCGAACUGAGAGGGGGGUCGGCCACACUGGAACUUAGACACGGUCCAUACUCCUACGGGAGGCAGCAGUAGGGAAUCUUCCGCAAUGGGCGAAAGCCUUACGGAGCAACGCCGCGUGAGUUAUGAAGGUCUUCGGAUCGUAAAACUCUGUUAUUAGGGAAGAACAAAUGUGUAAGUAACUAUGCACGGCUUGACGGUACCUAAUCAGAAAGCCACGGCUAACUACGUG